GUCCACGCCCUAAACGAUGAAUACUCGAUGUUGGCGAUAUACAGUCAGCGUCUAAGGGAAACCGUUAAGUAUUCCACCUGGGGAGUACGUCCGCAAGGAUGAAACUCAAAGAAAUUGGCGGGGUCGCACAAGCGGUGGAUUAUGUGGUUUAAUUCGAUGAUACGCGAGGAACCUUACCAGGGCUAGAAUGUAAUUGGAAUAUAGAGGAAACUUUAUAGCUAGCAAUAGCCGGUUACAAGGUGCUGCAUGGUUGUCGU
RNAcentral lists this ribosomal RNA (257 nucleotides) under uncultured bacterium. RNAcentral describes it as "partial 16S ribosomal RNA". It matches the Rfam family "Bacterial small subunit ribosomal RNA", at positions 793 to 1055 of the family's 1533-position model. The record is from RNAcentral.